AGAAUCAACGCUGGCGGCGUGCCUCAGACAUGCAAGUCGAACGAUUAAAGCUCUCUUCGGAGAGUGUAUAGAGUGGCGCACGGGUGAGUAACACGUAAGUAAUCUACCUUUGAGUGGGGAAUAACAAUCGGAAACGAUUGCUAAUACCGCAUAACUGCAGCGGCACCGCAAGGUGACAGUUAGUUAAAGGAGCAAUCCGACUUAAAGAGGAGCUUGCGGCAGAUUAGCUAGUUAGGUAAGGUAAUGGACUUACCGAAGGUCUACGAUCUGUACUCCGGUACUAAGGAGGACGGUCGACACACUGACCACUAGAAUAACCGGGUACA
This 326-nucleotide ribosomal RNA is filed under the name uncultured soil bacterium. RNAcentral's name for it is "bacterial SSU rRNA". It matches the Rfam family "Bacterial small subunit ribosomal RNA", at positions 26 to 333 of the family's 1533-position model. The record is from RNAcentral.